GGAUUCCCCUAGUAACUGCGAGUGAAGCGGGAAAAGCUCAAAUUUAAAAUCUGGCAGUCUCUGGCUGUCCGAGUUGUAAUCUAGAGAAGUAAUGCCCGUGCUGGACCGUGUAUAAGUCUCCUGGGAUGGGGCGUCAUAGAGGGUGAGAAUCCCGUCUUUGACACGGACUACCAGUGCAUUGUGGUAUGCUCUCAAAGAGUCGAGUUGUUUGGGAAUGCAGCUCAAAAUGGGUGGUAAAUUCCAUCUAAAGCUAAAUAUUGGCGAGAGACCGAUAGCGAACAAGUACCGUGAGGGAAAGAUGAAAAGAACUUUGGAAAGAGAGUUAAACAGUACGUGAAAUUGCUGAAAGGGAAACGCUUGAAGUCAGUCGCGUCGGCCGGGAAUCAGCCUUGCUUUUGCAUGGUGUACUUUCUGGUUGACGGGUCAGCAUCAAUUUUGACCGCUGGAAAAGGACCUGGGGAAUGUGGCAGCUUCGGCUGUGUUAUAGCCCCUAGUCGCAUACAGUGGUUGGGAUUGAGGAACUCAGCACGCCGCAAGGCCGGGUUUCGACCACGUUCGUGCUUAGGAUGCUGGCAUAAUGGCUUUAAGCGACCCGUCUUGAAACACGGACCAAGGAGUCUAACAUGCCUGCGAGUAUUUGGGUGGAAAACCCAAGUGCGUAAUGAAAGUGAAAGUUGAGAUCCCUGUCGUGGGGAGCAUCGACGCCCGGACCAGAACUUUUGGGACGGAUCCGCGGUGGAGCAUGUAUGUUGGGACCCGAAAGAUGGUGAACUAUGCCUGAAUAGGGUGAAGCCAGAGGAAACUCUGGUGGAGGCUCGUAGCGAUUCUGACGUGCAAAUCGAUCGUCAAAUUUGGGUAUAGGGGCGAAAGACUAAUCGAACCAUGCCAUCCC
Molecule: ribosomal RNA, 892 nt
Filed under: Agaricus callacii
Lineage: Eukaryota; Fungi; Basidiomycota; Agaricomycetes; Agaricales; Agaricaceae
Description: eukaryotic LSU rRNA
Rfam family: Eukaryotic large subunit ribosomal RNA
Source: RNAcentral